This 3010-nucleotide long non-coding RNA is filed under the name Brassica napus (rape). Its description in RNAcentral is "long non-coding RNA (BNAP_LNC000439)". Lineage: Eukaryota; Viridiplantae; Streptophyta; Magnoliopsida; Brassicales; Brassicaceae. The record is from RNAcentral.
AAUUAAAAUAAAAUUUUAUUUAUUAAUUAAAAUCAGUUUACAAUAAAAUCAGUUUUACAAAACUAAACCAAAAUUAAAAAGUAAACUAAACCAGAACAAAUUAAACCAUACACUAACUAAAACACAUUAAACCAAAACCUAAUUAACCUAAACCUAAGCAGCCGCCCACCACCUCGUCUCAUCUGCUACGACUUGCUUCCGCGUCUCGGCGCCUCCUUGUGCUUCAUGCCUCAGCCUCAAAUCACCUUUUUCUGAACCGCAUCUACCUCUGCCUCCGUGUCUGGUUUGUCACUACCACCAUCUCCACUGCAUCGUCUUCUUCCUCUGUCAUCUCCGUACCACCUCCGCUGUAUCUUCCUUCUUCAUGACGUCGUCUCCUUUCACGCUUUCAUCUUCGUCACCAAACCGGAGGACAAGGCUUCGCGGAGAAGGCGGUCGGAGGAGGAGAACGGAGGAAGCUUCACGGAGAAAGGGUCAGGGAGGAGAAGGAGCCAUUCGGAUAGGAGGAGAGGAGGAGCGUAUAGGAGUGAUGUGUAUUUGGAUCUCCUGUGUAUUUGCAGAUUGAUGUGGAGAAGAAAGACUGUGGUGGUGAGUUCUCGAUGGAAAAGAAAGAAGAAGAUAAGAGUUGGCCAGUGAGAAAAGAAAAAGAAAUCAUAAAUGAAUGUUUGUGAACCAUUGGAUUAAAAAUCAAUGGUCAAAAAUAACAAUCCUUCUUGUGCAAGAUCUACCAAUGAGAAAAGAGUACAUAGAUAACACAAGUAUGAUUUUGGGCCUUUGGAUUAAACCAAUCAAUCAAUGGCCAAAAUAAUUCCAUGUUUUUAUGAUUAACCAAUAAAAUAAUUUACUUUCUUCAUUUAUUGAAAUUAAUAUUAUCAAUUGUAUAAAUAACUUCAUAUUUUAUGUUUAAUAUUUUGCUAUUAAUAAUUAUAUAUAUGAGAUUAAACUUUUUAAAAAAAAGUAAAGUCUAUAUUAAAGUAUGAGGUUUUAAAUUUAAAAAUAUUAUAUUUGAUGUUUUAAAUAAGAAUAUGUAGUUAAAAAUAUAUAAAAUAAAAUUUAUAAUUUAAAGAUUUUGAUUAUGAUUUAGAUUUCGGUGAUUUAGUUUAAAAAUUAAAGAAAGAUUAAAGUUCAAACUUAUGUUUAGAGUUUGGAGUUUAAGAAUAUGGUUAGUUUAAAGUUUAAUGGUUACUUAAAGUUUUAUGUGUAUAAGCUUAGGGUUUAGAGUUUGAAAUAUAGUAUUAGGAGUUAGUUUCGAAUAUACAAUUUAUGUUUUGGAGUUUAUAAUUAAUUAAAUUUAGUGUUAUGAUAUAAGGUUUGGAUUAUGGGGUUUGAGAUUUAGAGUGAAAUUUGAGGAUAAAUUUUAAAAAUUAGCCAGAUUUGUAAUUUAUGUGUUAAGUUUGGUGUUUAAGUUGGAAAAUAUUAGUUUUACUGUGUAUAUUUAUAUAUAAUUUAUGGUGAACUACAUAUAUAUUUGGGGUUUGAGGAAUAGGGUUUGGAGUUUAGAUAUAGGGUUUGGAAUUUAAAUUAUUAAUUUAGGGGUUAUAAAUGUUAAAGUGAAGUAUUAGAUAUGAAUGUUAAAACUUAGUUAUAAAGUUAAAGUUAUAAAACUAUAAAAUUUUAUAAAUUACAAAAUGUGUUUAAAAAGAGUUUAUGAUUUGGUAUAUAGUUUAAGUUUAGAGUUUUAGUGUUUGAAAUAUAAUGUUUGAAAAUAGCUUUUCUUAGCCUUAAAAUAAUGCUAUCAUAUGUUUUUGAUAUCAUUAUUGAAACCGCUUAAAUAAUGUUUUUGGCGCUUACGUAUAAUUUCUUUUUUGGAUCUCCUGUGUAUUUGCAGAUUGAUGUGGAGAAGAAAGACUGUGGUGGUGAGUUCUCGAUGGAAAAGAAAGAAGAAGAUAAGAGUUGGCCAGUGAGAAAAGAAAAAGAAAUCAUAAAUGAAUGUUUGUGAACCAUUGGAUUAAAAAUCAAUGGUCAAAAAUAACAAUCCUUCUUGUGCAAGAUCUACCAAUGAGAAAAGAGUACAUAGAUAACACAAGUAUGAUUUUGGGCCUUUGGAUUAAACCAAUCAAUCAAUGGCCAAAAUAAUUCCAUGUUUUUAUGAUUAACCAAUAAAAUAAUUUACUUUCUUCAUUUAUUGAAAUUAAUAUUAUCAAUUGUAUAAAUAACUUCAUAUUUUAUGUUUAAUAUUUUGCUAUUAAUAAUUAUAUAUAUGAGAUUAAACUUUUUAAAACUCGUUUGUUAUCUUUUCAUGAUUUCCACAUAUAUUCAGUCACUUGUCGUUGGCUCUCGCAGAGAUCCGGGACCUCUGGAAAAUUAGGGUUUCUCUAGUUUCCUUAUUUAAACGGAAAUCGACAGUGCGAAUUUCGGUUCCCACAAUGUGCUGUCACACACAUAUAUCCUUCCCGCUUCACUGAUGUCCACAAGUCAGAGGUGAAAGAGACUCGUCCUGGAAGACUAGCCAAUUCUCUUUUCAGCGUCUCUCUCUCACUCUCAUAUAGUCGAUACACAUCAGUUCUCGCUGUGUUUCGACAUAUGGUUUGGACAUCAGCAUUCAAAUACUUCCAUGUGUCUCUCACCUUUUCAUACUCCACGUACGAGUAUGGUAGAUCAUGCUGCACUAUUGUCUUAGCAACCAGUUGCCUGAAGACAGUAUGAUUAUACUUCCGAGACACAACUUUCCCCUCGACAUUGAGUUGCUGCUGCUUUCCUCCAUUCCUAGGAUACAUCUUACAUCUUAAACGAUGCCUUCUCAACCCACUAGUUCCAUGUGAAUGGGACUGCCAUGCAUACUCCCUCUUACAAUGAUUGCAAGCAGCUUUCAGCUUCCCAUUGGGUUUCUGAACCACCGUGAAAUCUUUCCACACAUCUGAUCGUUGCCUCUCUUCCCUUUCCUCUUCACCGAGCUCAAGCUCAUCAAGCCCUUCUUCAUUCAGUUCAUCCUCAAGCUCCGGUAUCUCUUCUUCCAUCUUAUUCUUCUUCUUCUUCUGAGACUGACUACCGGAGCCCUUAGACACGCCCU